RNAcentral lists this ribosomal RNA (526 nucleotides) under uncultured bacterium. RNAcentral describes it as "bacterial SSU rRNA". It matches the Rfam family "Bacterial small subunit ribosomal RNA", at positions 984 to 1509 of the family's 1533-position model. The record is from RNAcentral.
ACAUCCAGAGAAUUUAGCAGAGAUGCUUUAGCGCCUUCGGGAACUCUGAGACAGGUGCUGCAUGGCUGUCGUCAGCUCGUGUUGUGAAAUGUUGGGUUAAGUCCCGNAACGAGCGCAACCCUUAUCCUUUGUUGCCAGCACGUAAUGGUGGGAACUCAAAGGAGACUGCCGGUGAUAAACCGGAGGAAGGUGGGGAUGACGUCAAGUCAUCAUGGCCCUUACGAGUAGGGCUACACACGUGCUACAAUGGCGCAUACAAAGAGAAGCGACCUCGCGAGAGCAAGCGGACCUCAUAAAGUGCGUCGUAGUCCGGAUUGGAGUCUGCAACUCGACUCCAUGAAGUCGGAAUCGCUAGUAAUCGUAAAUCAGAAUGUUACGGUGAAUACGUUCCCGGGCCUUGUACACACCGCCCGUCACACCAUGGGAGUGGGUUGCAAAAGAAGUAGAUAGCUUAACCUUCGGGAGGGCGUUUACCACUUUGUGAUUCAUGACUGGGGUGAAGUCGUAACAAGGUAAGCGUAGUGCU